AAUAUUUUUAACGAUUUUC
RNAcentral lists this microRNA (19 nucleotides) under Ciona intestinalis (vase tunicate). Its description in RNAcentral is "cin-miR-4213-5p". The record is from miRBase by way of RNAcentral. Lineage: Eukaryota; Metazoa; Chordata; Ascidiacea; Phlebobranchia; Cionidae.